RNAcentral lists this unclassified non-coding RNA (1102 nucleotides) under Hevea brasiliensis (rubber tree). The record is from RNAcentral. Lineage: Eukaryota; Viridiplantae; Streptophyta; Magnoliopsida; Malpighiales; Euphorbiaceae.
AGCACCAAAUCCAAACCCUUAUCUUUUAUAGGCUCAGCUUCUUGAAUUCUUCGCCAGGCACCCCUAUUCUCAUAUCUUCCGGACUCUUGGUUACAUUAUACAGUACUCCGUUUUCUUAUAUUUUCCCAUAUUUUCUCCAUCUUUCUUCUUGUGUUUUUUUACCUCCGUCUUGCCGCGUUCUUGGUUAGCUUUCUGUUCGAGAAUCAAGAUUUUUCGUCCACGAAUCUUUUUGGUUUGGCUUACCGUGUUUGUUGUAUUUCAAGCAAUUUUCAGGCAUUGAUAGUGGGUAUCUCUUGAUUCUUGAAAGGUUUAUCUCCACUUUCACUUUCAUGGCCAUGUUCCGAAUCUCCCUAAGAGGAAGGUCACUGCAGUAGUUGAAAAAACAAAGUGGGUAUCUGCUAAAAUUAGAGAAAAGGGAUUGAAAAGCAGGGGGUUUUUAAGGAAGAUGAAGAUUCAGUGUGAUGUGUGUGAGAGAGCUCCAGCCACUGUGAUUUGUUGUGCAGAUGAAGCAGCGCUUUGUGCGAAAUGUGACAUAGAAGUGCAUGCAGCGAACAAGCUUGCAAGCAAGCACCAGAGGCUUCUCCUUCAAUGCCUUUCCAACAAGCUGCCUCGUUGUGACAUAUGCCAAGAAAAGGCAGCUUUCAUUUUCUGUGUUGAAGACAGAGCCCUUUUCUGCCAGGACUGUGAUGAACCAAUCCAUUCAGCUGGUAGCCUCUCUGCAAAUCAUCAGCGGUUUCUGGCAACUGGAAUCCAAGUGGCUUUAGGAUCUAGUUGCACCAAGGAUACUAAGAAGAGUUGUUUAGAGCCACCCAAUCAGAGUGCACAACAAACUUCCAUGAAAUUGCCUGCACAACAACCAUCAAGCUUCAGCACUUCAUGGGCGGCCGAUGACUUAAUGCAAUUCUCAGACUUUGAAUCAUCCACUGACAAGGUAAUGAAAUCGAUAUAUGAAUUCCAUACCAUUACUCCACAUUUAUAUUCCUUUUUUAUUGUCUUUGCAAAGACUAAAAACGUUAGAGAACUUGGGAAUGCCAUUGCCAAGAAGAAGACCAGAAAUAUUUGGCUUUAGCCUGGCAUUAUUUAUUUUUGGGUUUAUCACUAA